Molecule: ribosomal RNA, 239 nt
Filed under: uncultured bacterium
Lineage: Bacteria
Description: partial 16S ribosomal RNA
Rfam family: Bacterial small subunit ribosomal RNA
Source: RNAcentral
GAUCCUGGCUCAGGAUGAACGCUGGCGGCGUGCUUAACACAUGCAAGUCGAACGAAGCGCUUAAGAUUGAUUCUUCGGAUGAAGUUUUUUGUGACUGAGUGGCGGACGGGUGAGUAACGCGUGGGUAACCUGCCUCAUACAGGGGGAUAACAGUUAGAAAUGACUGCUAAUACCGCAUAAGCGCACAGGGUCGCAUGACCUGGUGCGAAAAACUCCGGUGGUAUGAGAUGGACCCGCGU